CAGUUCGGAUCGCAGGCUGCAACCCGCCUGCGUGAAGUUGGAAUUGCUAGUAAUCGCGGAUCAGCAUGCCGCGGUGAAUACGUUCCCGGGCCUUGUACACACCGCCCGUCACACCAUGGGAGCCGGUAAUACCCGAAGUCAGUAGCCUAACCGCAAGGAGGGCGCUGCCGAAGGUAGGAUUGGCGACUGGGGUGAAGUCGUAACAAGGUAUC
This 212-nucleotide ribosomal RNA is filed under the name uncultured bacterium. RNAcentral's name for it is "partial 16S ribosomal RNA". It matches the Rfam family "Bacterial small subunit ribosomal RNA", at positions 1289 to 1500 of the family's 1533-position model. The record is from RNAcentral.